This 495-nucleotide ribosomal RNA is filed under the name uncultured bacterium. RNAcentral describes it as "partial 16S ribosomal RNA". It matches the Rfam family "Bacterial small subunit ribosomal RNA", at positions 32 to 507 of the family's 1533-position model. The record is from RNAcentral.
UCAACGCUGGCGGCGUGCCUAAUACAUGCAAGUCGAGCGAACAGACGAGGAGCUUGCUCCUCUGACGUUAGCGGCGGACGGGUGAGUAACACGUGGAUAACCUACCUAUAAGACUGGGAUAACUUCGGGAAACCGGAGCUAAUACCGGAUAAUAUAUUGAACCGCAUGGUUCAAUAGUGAAAGACGGUUUUGCUGUCACUUAUAGAUGGAUCCGCGCCGCAUUAGCUAGUUGGUAAGGUAACGGCUUACCAAGGCAACGAUGCGUAGCCGACCUGAGAGGGUGAUCGGCCACACUGGAACUGAGACACGGUCCAGACUCCUACGGGAGGCAGCAGUAGGGAAUCUUCCGCAAUGGGCGAAAGCCUGACGGAGCAACGCCGCGUGAGUGAUGAAGGUCUUCGGAUCGUAAAACUCUGUUAUUAGGGAAGAACAAAUGUGUAAGUAACUAUGCACGUCUUGACGGUACCCAAUCAGAAAGCCACGGCUAACUACGUG